RNAcentral lists this long non-coding RNA (6150 nucleotides) under Daucus carota (carrot). RNAcentral describes it as "long non-coding RNA (DCAR_LNC003871)". Lineage: Eukaryota; Viridiplantae; Streptophyta; Magnoliopsida; Apiales; Apiaceae. The record is from RNAcentral.
CACUCGUGUGUCUUGGGCUUCUCCGGUACUUGUUGUAGAAGAUCUCCUGCCAUUAAUUUAGGCUUCUUGUGACUGGCCCGAUGACCGCCUAACGCUUGGAACGAUGGGAACUGCCGGUUACAUGUCUUGCAUUCGUAAACACGGCCGGCUGAAAUUAGAUCAGACUGGGAUUUGCCGAAUUGUGAAAGAAGCAUGAGACAGUUGGCCAUUGUUUGUUCAUCUUCUCUACUCCUCUUCAUUGUCAUCUUAAUGUAAAAUAUGAUUCAAGGUUUAAUGUGUUUAAUGGGUUUGGUGUACAAUUCUCUGUGUUGAAUGGAUUGCGCAAAGUUGUAAGCUGUAUUUGAGUUUGUAAGCUGUAUUUGAGUGAGUCCUAUUGUUGCGGUAGUUGGUGUAUAUUUAUAAGGUUCUGUGCAGGUUCUUACGUAUGUGAUUAGCGUAUACUAGUACUACUAUAUUCUUCUGUUGGUUAGUUUUUGAGUGAGUCGGCGCUUUCGUCUUAUGUUGAUUAAUGAGUAGCUAGGAUUCAUAAUUAAAAAAGAGACGAGGCGGUUUAUUAGUUAACUACUUUGCAUAUUAUAGCAGUCAGCAAAGGCAACAUUAAUAUACCGGUCAACUCAAUUCACAAGGAAGAAUCCUUCAGAUACUUUGACUUUUCUAGAACGCUUUCGUUUGGAUUAGACAAGUAAGCAUUUGACCUGCUCACUAAACAAUCACUGAUGCAAGUUCGAGCGAUUAGUAUGUUAUAUUUAUGCGCAGUCUAGUUUUAAGAAAUCAAAGUCCAGCAUGAUCCAGCGAAAAUACGGAUGUGCACACGAAGAAAAGAAGAAAAUGCGAAGUCAAAUAAAGUAGAUACAUAAUUUGGAGCAUUCGUGAUCAAAUAAAGUGGCGGAUUAAGAAAGUUUCGAGAUCAAGAUUUAUGAAUAAGAAAUAAACAUAAGAGGGAUAUACGAAAGCAAGUAGGAAGCAUGACGAUUAACAAAGCAGUUUCACAAUAUAUUAAGUAAAAUUAACUUGGUAGUUAAAACAAAAUGCAAUAUAUUAAGUAAAAUUAACUUGGUAGUUAAAACAAAAUGUAAGCGGCAUGCAGGGACCGAGUGGAUUAUGUAUUAGGUACACCAAGACAGAUGCCGACUUUCUUCUGUUCCUUUGGUGCUCAACUGCGUACUCAUUGUACUACUUCGUAACUUUAAACUACCAAAGUAUUGAUUGUAGUUGGUACUUAGUUGAACAAGUGCUCCUUUUUCCUAAAGUAGGUCAGAUAAUUUAUAUCUUUUAGUAAUGGUCGACAUUUCAUACACGCGGACAUGUAUAUGCUGAUCGAAUUUGAAUUCCGGACUUCUUGUUAUAUUUCUGGUUGAUUAUGCAAAGCAAGUCGGAAAGUAAACUUCUUCUUAGCAUAUGUACACGAUCUUUAUAUGUGUUGUACCACUUGAUUAUGCAAAGUAAGUCGGAAAGGAAACUUCUUCUUAACAUAUACACGAUCUUUAUAUGUGUUGUACCACUGUAUCACCUUCAACUUGUUGGUCAUCACCAAAUCAUAUAUGCAUCAACAAAUUAAGUAAUGUGGAAUGUGUGUUAAGUCUUAAUUGUUGAUACUUAAUUGCCUGCGGAUCAAAAUAUGGAAAACAUUUUGAAAUAUGAGAAACAUUUUCUGUCCCUCAUAAUCUAGUCCUUGAUUAUUUAAAUCUCUUAUCAUAUAUAUUUUUUAACAUGUAAUGAAUUUUUAGAAUAAGGUCAAACCAUCUAGCUAGCUACUCAUUGUAAAUAAAUAUAUUAUUUUGUAGAGAUAGGAGAAAAGUUUUGAAAAAGAAUAUGUGAGUGCAAAUUGUUAUGAUGAAAUUGAGAAGAAAAUGAAGGAAUGGAGCAUCCUUCUUAAAUUGAAGGAAGGUGUGAUCUCGAUCUAGCAUUGGGUGUAAGGAAUUGAAUGUAGGAAUGAAUGAAAUUUAUAAGAAUUUGCCCAUGACAUGAUGUAAAUUUCAUUGCAUUCCUUUCAUAUUCAUUAGACAAAAAAGAUAUUAAUUUUAAGAGAAUGAUUAAAAGUUUCUUAAAGCAAUUCUAUACUGUAUUUCUUGAAAUUAUUGUUUUGAACAUCAUAUAUAAACUAAUCUUCUGUCCGUUACACUCUCCUGUUAUAUACAUGUAUGCACACCAUGAAUGCAGUAUAGCAAACCAGAAACCAGGCAAGAAUCAUAAAACAAAUGAAAGAAUAUCAUUUCCUAUCCAAAAAUGAACAUUAAAAAAUACAAAACAAGAUGAUGAUCUAAGUCAUACUAUCUACCAUCCCAACUUCAAAUAAUUAUCAUAUGGCAUCAAAUUCAGAUCCAAACCCCAAACUCUUUUGCAACUAUUGCUCUUCUUCAAAAUGGGCGCCACCUUCCCAACCUUAUGAUCAUCAUCACUACUAGUGACUGUACUAGAAUUAGCCUCCAUGGCUACACGGUGCCGCCUCAUGUGUCCCCCAAGGGCUUGACCUAAAGCAAACUCAGCUCCACAUAUUGAGCACUCAUGUGUCUUUGGCUUCUCCGGUACUUGUUGUAGAAGAUCUCCCGCCAUUAAUUUAGGCUUCUUGUGACUGGCCCGAUGACCGCCUAACGCUUGGAACGAUGGGAACUGUCGGUUACAUGUCUUGCAUUCGUAAACACGGCCGGCUGAAAUUAGGUCAGACUGGGAUUUGCCGAACUGUGAAAGAAGCAUGAGACAGUUAGCCAUUGUUUGUUCAUCUUCUCUACUCCUCUUCAUUGUCAUCUUAAUGUAGAAUAUGAUUCUAGGUUUAAUGUGUUUAAUGGGUUUGGUGCACAAUUCUCUGUGUUGAAUGAACUGCGAAACGUUUUGUAAGGUGUAAUAUUUGAGUGAGUCCAGUUAUGUUGUGUUGGCGUUUAUUUAUAAGGCUUUGUGCAAGUACGUAUGUGACUUGUACGUAUAUUCUUAUUGAGUGAGUGGACGGCGUUUUGUUUUCGUCUUAUAUUAAUGAGUAGCCACCGUGAUUAAAAAAGGGGAGACAGGGCGGUCAGCAAAGGCAACAUAUGUAUACUGGUCAACUCAAGAUAGAAGGAAAAGUCCCUCAGAUGCUUUGACUUUUCUAGAACGUUUUAACCAGCUGCUACUAAACAAGUAUUGCUAGAUAGAAGGACCACAAUCACAAACGAAAGUUAGUGAUUUGUGGAGCACGUGCUUUGUGAACACUCAAAUUAUUAUGAAUAUCCAAUCAUGUAGAGUAUUCUCUUUCCACUAUACAUUCGCAAUAUAUUAUUUAGACAUGUUCGAACGAACUUGCAUAUAUCGCGUAAUAAUUGUGAUAGAACAGAGUCGUUAAUUACAAAUUAGACAGCUCUAAAAACCCAAUCAAAUGGACGAUAAAUAAUACACGAAUAAUGACUUGUGCAUAACAAGAUCGUGGUUGCAACAUAAUAAAAUUGGGUGUGCAGUCGGUGGUGUAUUUACAGCUAGCUGAUUGAAUGUUCUGUAUGCAUUUUGCAUGCAGUCAAAUUAUAACAAAUCAAAGACUAACAUAACCGAGAGAAUAGUACAUCUGUACACACCAAAUAUGAAGAAUUUAAGAAAGCGAAGUCAAAUAAAGUUAUUAUAUGGAUUAUUCAAAACCUGAAGUGAAAUAUAUACUAGUUGGAUAUUCAAGCUAGUGUGGCAUUAAAGAAGUUUCAAAAUCAAAAUUCGUGAUGGGAACAUCAAUGAGUACUUGAGCAGUAGGACGAAGCAUGUAGUUGAGCAGUCGCACAGACUAUUAUAAACUUGAGAGUAGAAACAAAAUGUAGUUAAGCCGCGUGAGGCUCCGCCUCAAUUAUCAUGUAUAAUUAGGUGAAGGGAGAUUUAUUCUCAUUAAAACAUUUUAAUUUAAAAUAAAUAUUAAAAAUUAUAUAUUUGAAAAUAAGUAAAUAACCGUAUAUCUCACAAAGAUAUAAACUACUCCCUCCGUCCCCUUUUACAUGUCCAUUUUGCUUUUCGAGAAGUCAAAUUGACCAACUUUUGACUAAACAUUACGAGUUAUCUAUCCAGUAUUUCUAAAAUCUAAAAGUUGCAUAUUAAUAUAGACUCAAUAUACUUUCUAAUGAUAUAAUUUUUAUUAUUUUUCUCAAUUAUCUAAUAUAUGUAAAGUUCAGUCAAAAUAUAGUCAAUUUGACUGGUCAAAAGUCAAAAUGGACAUGUAAAAGGGGACGGAGGGAGUAAUAUAUAAAGUAUUUCAUCAAGUAAUACAUUAACCGCGAACUCCCCCUCCCCUUUAGAAUCUGCAUGCUCUUUUCUUUUCAUACAAUUAGCUGCCAUCUUUCACAGUCUUCUUUCCCUUCCAAACUGUGUGCUAGAUCCACAUCUGUUGAUUGUGGACUGAGUUCACAUCAAACCAAAAAAUCCUAGAAUCAGAGUGCAGAGUACUCUAAUUCAAUUGUUGGCUCCUUUUUUCCCUGGUUAAAGAAAUUAGUCCUUUCUUUUAUCAGUUUAAACAAAUUAAUAAAUGUAAGUGCUUAUGCUUAAAUUCUAGGUAAAAUUUUAAUAACAUUUAUAUUCUUUUUUACUAGUUGUGCAUUUUAAUAUUAAUUAUUAUUAACUCAAAUACCUUUAAGAAUUAUCAUACAAAUAACUAUGGAAUUUAAUAAAGUGAGUGAAAAUUUAAUAAUAUCUUUGUGUAAUCAAUGUAAUUAAAAUAUUGAAAAAUGAGAAAAAAAAAUACUAUAUUUAAUAUUUUUAAUAUAUGUAAAAUUUGUAAACAAGAUUACUAAAUUGGAUGGAAACAAUGUUAUAAGAAAAGAUUUUUCUACCAUAAUAUUAUAAUUGAUUCUCCCAUUAUAAUUUAUUUUUCACUCAAAAUAAUUAUAUAUAUUACCAAAAUUCAAGAUAAGCUGUAAUAACAUAUUUAGUAGUAGGUUUUUAAAUUAUUAUGCAAUAUUCUAGUAAUACGUACAGUUCUCACAAUUUGACCUUUAUGAGUUCUUUACAGUAUUUGACAUUUUGACUGAGAGAAACCUUUUGGCUAGUUACUCUUUAAUGAUCUAAAAGUUGUUAUAUACUUGAAUCAUAUAAUGUGGGAAUUUUUCUUACUGUAAAUUUAAAACAACUUUCUAGCCAUCUAACACAUAUCGAUCCAAUUAUAAAUAUGAAUAAUUCCAUUCAAAUUAUUUUUAAGUCUAAAUAUUGUGAAAGAAAAUGAAAUAAGGCCUAAGAUAAGAAAAAGUUAAACCUUAAUCAUGGAUGAUUUGGACCGAUUUUAUUAAGUUUUAUAGCCUAUAUCCAUUAAUUUAUGAAAGUUCAUGUGAAAAUUUAUUUUAAAACAAACUUCAAAUCAAAAUAUUUUUAUAAACAAACUGGUAUAGAUAACAUAUCUCGACCGAGUUUCUCAAUGCAACGCCGGCUAGUUUACUUUUGAUAAAUAGACUUAAUUAAGAACAAGAAAUUUGCUCAAAUCUAGACAAAAUAAUUUUUCAAAUUAGAGUGACUAGUUAAAUGAAAUAUACAAUGUAUAAUGACUUGCUAGCAAACUAGCAAAGUAAGUUCAGCUAACCAAUCCUAGAAACAAGCUGAGAAACAUAAAACUAAUGAAAGAAUCAUUUUCUUCUCAAAGAAGAUGAAAAUACAAAACGUACACGAUCUCAAAGGAAGAUGACUAUUUUACCAUCCCAACUUCAAAUAAUUAUCAUAUGGCAUCAAAUUCAGAUCCAAACCCCAAACUCUUUUGCAACUGUUGCUCUUCUUCAAAAUGGGCACCGCCUUCACAGCCUUAUGAUCAUCAUCGCUAAUAGUAGUGCUUGUAGAAUUAGCCUCCGUUAUAGUAGUGCUUGUAGAAUUAGCCUCUAUUUCUGCACGGUGCCGCCUCAUGUGCCCCCCAAGAGCUUGACCUAAAGCAAACUCAACCCCGCAUAUUGAGCACUCGUGUGUCUUCGGCUUCACCGCUACUUGUUGUAGAAGAUCUCCAACCAUCAGCUUAGGCCUCUUGUGACUGGCCCGAUGACCACCUAACGCUUGGAACGAUGGGAACUGUCGAUUACAUGUCUUGCAUUCGUAAACACGGCCGCUUGAAAUUAGAUGAGUCUGGGAUUUGCCGAUUUGUGAAAGAAGCAUGAGACAGUUGGCCAUUGUUAAUUCAUCUUCUCUACCUCUCUUCAUUGACAUCUUAAUGUAAAAUCAAAUAAGUUGUUUUGUGUU